UAAUAAUCCACACAUGAGCCAAAGCUUAAUGCUGGAACAAGACUGGUUUAAUUCAAUUUAUACAGCAUCAAACUCCUCCUCUGAGCCAGCAAGAUAAUUGAGUUUUGGAAACAUACUAAACUCAAUUAUCUGCUGGCCAGAAAAAUCUUACACUUUCACAUUUUCCAGAAAUAUCAUAACCAGACAUAAAAAAACCCCACAAAUAUCCCCGGGUAGCUGAGCUUGAUGGGAGUAACAUAUGAAAAAU
This is a non-coding RNA of Pelobates cultripes (western spadefoot toad), 247 nucleotides long. NCBI's taxonomy places the organism in Eukaryota, Metazoa, Chordata, Amphibia, Anura, Pelobatidae. The record is from the annotation of a GenBank genome assembly.